RNAcentral lists this ribosomal RNA (378 nucleotides) under uncultured bacterium. Its description in RNAcentral is "bacterial SSU rRNA". It matches the Rfam family "Bacterial small subunit ribosomal RNA", at positions 524 to 898 of the family's 1533-position model. The record is from RNAcentral.
CACGUAGGGUGCGAGCGUUGUCCGGAAUUAUUGGGCGUAAAGAGCUCGUAGGCGGUGUGUCGCGUCGGCCGUGAAAACUUGGGGCUUAACUCUGAGCGUGCGGUCGAUACGGGCAUCACUUGAGUUCGGCAGGGGAGACUGGAAUUCCUGGUGUAGCGGUGAAAUGCGCAGAUAUCAGGAGGAACACCGGUGGCGAAGGCGGGUCUCUGGGCCGAUACUGACGCUGAGGAGCGAAAGCAUGGGGAGCGAACAGGAUUAGAUACCCUGGUAGUCCAUGCCGUAAACGUUGGGCGCUAGGUGUGGGGACCAUUCCACGGUUUCUGUGCCGCAGCUAACGCAUUAAGCGCCCCGCCUGGGGAGUACGGCCGCAAGGCUAAA